UCCCUCAAAUAUUUGAGCAGUGAAUAAUGAAGCUUCGAACACUUGUUUGUUUCUCUCAAUUUGGUCCUUUACCUGAAACAGAAAAAUAUACAGGACUCAUAGGUAUGAUUAUAGAUGAAGAUUGCCUAACCCGUGUGUAUUUCCAUUGGAUUAAUGUAACCUUAGGGUUGGAAUUUAAGAGUAUUCCAUUUUGCCGUGCAGGUCGUGACUCAUCAUUUGGCACGAGUUAGGGNNNNNNNNNNNNNNNNNNNNNNNNNNNNNNNNNNNNNNNNNNNNNNNNNNNNNNNNNNNNNNNNNNNNNNNNNNNNNNNNNNNNNNNNNNNNNNNNNNNNNNNNNNNNNNNNNNNNNNNNNCAUUAGUAAAAUUGUAUCAAUUCAAAGAAAAAAUUUAACAUAUAGAUACCUGACCGUGGCCAUUCCCUUAGAAGUAAUAUCUCUUUAAAUGGACAGCAUUCCAAUGUGAAGGUAAAACUUUGCCGUCCAUUAUCUCCAACUCGUAUGCUCCUUUUCCUGCAAUGUCACGGAUUCUAUAAGGUCCUUCCCACGUUGGACUUAGCUUUCCAGAGUUAGCAGCCUUUGUAGAUUGGAACACUUUUUUGAGCACAAAGUCCCCAAUUUUGAAGAACCUGAGACGUGCUUUCCUAUUAUAAUAUCGUUCAAUUACUUGCUUUUGAGCUGCCAUCCUUAUUAAUGCAGCUGUUCUUCUUCCUUCGAGCAAAUCAAGGUUCACCCGUAACUCUUCAUUGUUAAAGUCUUUCAUUGUUUGAACGUACCGCGUGCUUGGUUCCCCUAUUUCAACUGGUAUUAAGGCCUCUGCUCCAUAAACCAUUGAAAAUGGCACUUCUCCUUUGCUUGUUUUCGUCAUUGUUUAAUACACCCAUAAUACCACAGGUAACACUUUAGGCCAAUUACCUUUUGAAUCUUGUAAUAUUUUCUUUAAAUGAUUGAUUAUGACCUUGUUUGUGGAUUCUGUUUGUCCAUUGCCUACCGGAUGGUAUGAUGUUGAUGUUAUCCUUUUAAUCUGCCAACUUUGAAAGAAUUUCGUGAUUUGUGCUCCUAUGAAUUGUGGACCAUUAUCACAUACGAUUUUCUUUGGUACCCCAAAGCAGCAUAUGAUAUUUCUCCAAAUAAAAUCUUUAACCUCUUUCUCUCGUACCAGUUUGAAUGCCCCUGCUUCUACCCAUUUAGUGAAAUAAUCAGUAAGUAUGAGUAGAAACUUUACCUGACCUUUUGCUUGUGGUAAUGGACAUACGAUGUUUAAUGAAAUAAUCAGUAAGUACAAGUAGAAACUUUACUGACCUUUUGCUUGUGGUAAUGGACCUACGAUGUCCAUUCCUCAUUUCAUGAAGGGCUACAGAGAUAUAACAGGGUGUAAUAAUUCGGCUGGUUUAUGCAUAUUGUUACCGUAUCUUUGACAUUUAUCACACUUAGACACGAAAUCAUUUGCUUCCUCUUCCAUCUUAGGCCAAUAAUAUCCUGCUCGAAUCAAUAUUUUUACUAGUGACCUGUCCCCUGCAUGAUUUCCACAAUGUCCAUCAUGUAUUUCUCUUAUUACAUACUCUGUUUAGGAAGGUCCGAGACACCUUGCUAAUGGUCCACCAAAUAUUUUUUGGUUAAGGUUUCCUUGAUAUAAGCAAUAACGAGCAGCUUUCUUACGAAGUGCAUAAGCCUUUGUUUUAUCAUCAGGAACGAUUCCAUGCUGCAGAAAAGCAACUAUUUCGUUUCUCCAAUCCCAUGUUAAGUGAUUAAAAUUUACCUCAUUCUUGUCAGGUUCGACAAAGGAAUGGAAUAAAUGUUUGAUUUAAGCAUUCACAUCAUUUGCUAUGUCCGCCGCAGAUGCAAGAUUAGAUAAGGCAUCUUCCUCCGCGUUUUCCUCUCUUGGGAUUUGCAUUACCUUCCAAGUUUGGAACUGCUUUAUCAGUUCACCUUUUCGAGAUAUUCUUGCAUUCGCAUUUCCCUGGCUAUAUAAGUCCUCAGCAUUUGAUUCACCACGAGUUUGGAAUCACUUUUUAUUAUGAUUUGUGUGAUGCCAAGUUCCAGUGCCAAUUCUAAACCUGCAAUUACAGCUUCAUACUCUGCUUCAUUGUUAGUUACAGGGUGACAUUUAAUAGUCUAUCUAAUGGUCUCACCCGUAGGUGGUUUAAGAACAAUUCCUAAACCUUCUCCCUUUACAUUUGAUGAACCAUCAGUACACAAAAUCCAAGUCCCUGAAUUUGCUCCAUUAAAAACUUGUAAUUCCUUUUCUGCUUCUAAAUGCAUCCCUUGACUAAAAUCUGCUAUGAAAUCAGCGAGAACUUGGGAUUUUAUAGCAGUCCUAGGCUGAUAAAUAAUUUCAUAUUCACUUAGUUCUAUAACCCAUUUUUCUAAUCUUCCUGACAAUUCAUGUUUAUGCAAAAUGAUUCGUAAUGGAAAAGAAGUAACUACGACAAUUGGAUGAUAUUGAAAAUAAGGUUUUAAUUUCCUAGAUUCCAUGAUCAAAGCUAGUGAUAAUUUUUCUAGUUGUGGAUAUCGCGUCUCAGCAUCUAACAAAAAUUUGCUCACAUAAUAAAUAAGAGAUUGUUUACCUUAGUCCUCUCGUACCAAAACAGCACUUACCGCGACUUCUGAUACUCCCAAAUAGAUGAGUAAUGUUUUACCUUCCUUUGGUUUUGCCAACAGCGGGGUAUUUGACAAGUAGGCUUUCAUGUUCUUAAGGGCUUGAUGACAAUCUUCAUUCCAUUCAAAAUGGUCUUGCUUUUUGAGAGCAUAGAAGAACUUAAAAUAUUUUUUUCAAAUUUAGAAAUAAAUCUUCCCAAGGCUGCGAUUCUUCUCGUUAAUCUUUGUACCUCCUUCUUAUUGGUAAGGAUAUAAAGGAUCUCUUCUAUCGCUUUAAUCUGAGAAGGAUUUACCUCAAUACUAUGGUUAGAAACAAGAAAACCCAAAAACUUACCUGAGGCAACUCCAAAUGCACAUUUUUCCGGGUUGAGUUUCAUGUUAAAUUUCCGUAAAAUUUCAAAUGUAAUAGAUAAAUGAGAAAUAUGAUCGUGAAAAUUCUGGGUUUUGACGAGCAUAUCGUCUAUAUACACCUCCAUAGAUUUUCCGAAAUGUUCUUGAAAUAUUUUGGUAACCAACCUUUGAUAGGUUGCUCCAGCAUUUUUGAGACCAAAGGGCAUUACUUUAUAACAGUAAGUCCCCCUGUCUGUGAUGAAAGAAGUUUUUCCUCGUCAUCAGGAUCCAUUUUAAUUUGAUUAUAUCCUGAAUAUGCAUCUAAAAAGCUUAAAAGUUAAUGACCUGCAGUUACGUCAAUUAAUUUAUCUAUAUGCGGUAAAGGAAAAGAGUCUUUUGGGCAAGCUUUAUUUAGAUAAGUAUAAUCCACACAAACGCGCCACUUACCAUUUUUCUUAGGUACGACGACAGUCUAAGCUAACCAAUUAUGAUACUUUACCUCGCGGAUCGACCCAAUUUUAAUUAUUUUUGGACCUCAUCUUGAAUCACCCGGUUCUUGAAAGCUCCUUCCUUCCUUUUCUUUUGCUUUACUGGUGUGAAAGAUGGGUCCUCGUUGAAUUUGUGAGUCAUCACAUCCGGUGGUAUUCAUCACAUCCGGUGGUAUACCUGUCAUAUCAGCAUGGGACCAAGCAAAACAGUCUACGUUGGUUUUUAAAAACUCAAUUACCAUACCUCGCAUGUCAGGAUUUAGGUUAGCUCCUACAUAAACCUUUCGUCCAUGCCACUUUUCAAAUAGUACACAGCCUCGAGCUCCUCUAUUGUUGUUUUAAUGUUCUCAUUUUCUUCAGGUCCUUGAAUCACAUCGGGUCUCGAGUCUAAAUAUGUUUUUUCUUGUUCAAUUGACAUUUUAUUGUCAACACCCUCAACUAUUUUCUGUAAUUGCUAUUUUUCUUUACUUAAGGCAUUAAUAUCUAUCACAUCGUUGAUUCUUCUGGCUAUUUGUUGAUCCCCUCGAAUUUGAUAGAUUCCUCAUGGUGACGGAAACUUAAUAACUUGAUGCAGAGUUUAUGGAACAACAUCCAUAUCAUGGAUCCAUGGUCUUCCCAUGAUUAUAUUGUAGACCAUCUCCAUAUCAACUACCUGGAAUUUAGUUUCUUUGACAACAUCUGCAGCAAAAGUUGUUAUAAUUACCUUUCCUUUUGUUACCACACUUGAAUUGUCGAAGCCUGACAUGGUAUGCGCCUUAAGUAUCAUUUUAUCUUCAGCUUGCAUUUCUCGUAGCACCCUUAAUAGGAUGAUAUUUGCAGAACUCCCUGGGUCAAUCAAAACACAUUUUAUAUUAGUGUCAUGUACAAGUAAAGAUAUUACCAGUGCAUCAUUAUGAGGAGUAAUCACUCCUUCUGUAUCUGUAUCAUCAAAAUUUAUACUUUCGUGCUUUAGGGUCUGCCGCACUAGCUUCCCGUGUGUGAUUGUUACAUUGGAAACCUUAUUUGAAGUUCUAUACGUAACUCCAUAAAUAUCUUCUCCUCUAAUAACGUUAACAGUUCUCUUAGGGGAUGGUGGUUUUGGUGGCUCCUGCCUAUUUUUCAUAUAAGCUUAUUUUCCCUUCUCACUAAAUAACUCAGUAAGAUAUCUUUGCUUCAAUAGAUGGUCCACUUCACUUUGUAGGAAUCUGCAUUCUAAUGUUUUAUGCCCGUGAUCGUUGUGGAAUUCACACCAAUGGUCCGAAUGUUUGGAUUUGACCGCAUAUCUUUUGGCCGCCGUACCUUAUCUCCCAUACCCCUUAGAACAGCUACGAGCUCAGAAUUAGUUACGUUAAAAUUAUAACCACCGAAUCGUGCCAUUAAAUUUUUAUCAUCGUCUCGUGGCUCUUGAUUGUUUUGAUCACCUCUGAACCUGGAUGAAGAUCCGGUCUCCCUGUUUCUUGGCCUUUGAUCAUAUCGUUGGUUAUCCUAUUUUGAUCAUGAAUCUUUUUCUGCAGGUCCCAUAUAUGGACCAUAUCUAUUUUUACCUGAUCGUUUUUCAGCCUCUGACCUCCUGGAUCCGCUCCAUUCUUCACGAUCGUACUAAGGUACGGUAUCCUCUUCAAUUCUGAGCUUUAUAUGGACCAUAUCUAUUUUUACUUGAUCUUUUUUCAGCCUCUGACCUCCUGGAUCCGUUCCUUCUUCACGAUGGUACUGAGGUACGGUAUCCCCUUCAAUUCUAAGCUUUGUACUGUACCUGUUAGGAACAUCAUUCCAAGUGGUUCCAGGAAAUCCAUGGAGGCUUUCCUUAAGCCUUCUCACGGCUUCUGAACUUUUGUCAUUCAAAUUGCUUGCAAAAGCUAUCGCUUCCCAAUUGUCUGGAACACGGGGUAGAGUCAUUCUUUUACGUUUGAAUCUAUCAACAAAAUCCCUGAGCAGUUCAGAGUUCCCUUGCUUGAUUUUGAAAAUAUCCUCCAUUCUUUUCUCGACCUUUUGAGCUCCCGAGUGUGCUUUUAUAAAAUAAUCUGCAAGCUCCGCAAAAGAGUUUAUAGAGUUUUCAAGUAAAAGAGAAUACCAGGAUAAUGCACCCUUGGUGAAGGUUUCUCUAAAUUUUUGGACCAGUACUGAUUCAAUUUCUUGUUUGGCCAAGUCGUUGCCCUUCACACCUAUUGUAAAUGUAGUUCUGUGGUCACAUGGGUCUAUUGUAUCAUCAUAUUUCGGGAUGUUUGGCAUUUUGAACUUUUUCGAAAUUGGAAGAGGAGCAGUACUUGGCUUCCAAGGUUGUUGUGAGUAUUUGUAUGUCCACGUCUACUCCUUUUAUUACAGGCGGAACUCCAGGGAUUUGCUCGAUACGCUCAUAUUUGCUCCUUGAGCUGUUUCUCAAAGGUUAGUACUAAAUUUUAAAGAUGACAAUUACUGAGUUACCUGGUUCUCCUUCUUGUGAAUCACUAGGGGUUGCUCCAUUACCAGAAUUAACUAGACCAGAGCGGGAGUUUUCCAAUGUGUUAUUAUUCGGCAUUGUUGGAACAACAGGCAAUCGACUGACUAAAGCUUCCAAAGCUUUGUCAAUUCGUGCAUCAAUUAUUUUUUGUAGAAGCUCAUAUCUUGUUUCAACUCCUCCAUCAGCAUGUUCAGACAUAUCAUUAGGAGUUCCUUCUCGAGAUCCUAAACCAAGGCAGGAGUUUUCCAACGUGUUGUUAUUCGGUGUUGUUGGCGCAGCAGGCAAUCGACUAACUAAAGCUUCCAAUGCUUUGUCAAUUCGUGAAUCAAUUAUUUUUUGUAGAAGCUCAUCUCUUGUUUCAACUCCUCCAUCAGCAUGUUCAGACAUAUCAUUAGGAGUUAUUUCUCGAGAUCCACGUGGAGAAGCUUGAGGAAGAGCAUCAUUGAGUUCAUCUCCCACCACUUGAUGGAUCUGAUUUUCUUGAUUGUUGUUGUCGUUUUUGUUUGACAUAAUGUUAACAAUGGAUAGAGUGUAAUUUGAGAAAGAAUAUAUUAUCAGAUUCCCGGUAACGGAACCAAUUUGUUUAACCAGAAAAUAAUAUUUUAGUCAAAGCUAGAAUUUAAGAUGAAAAAUCGGGUUACUGAUAAUCAAGAGACCAAAAAAUAAUAAUAAACUUAUUGAGAAUAAGAAUAAAGCAGUAAAGAAUUUGUAUUUCAGUAUGAUAUCAAUGAGCUUUUCGUGUCCUUACAAAUAAUGAGACUUCUUCCUUUUAUAGUUGAUUCUAGAUAAAGGAAUGAAACUUAGGCUUCAAUGAGACAAUUAUGAGUAAUAAAUAACAUUCAAUAAGACGUUACAUAAUCAUUCCUAUUAAAUACCAAUUUUCCGACGUAUCAGGUAUUUAAUACUGAAUUUGGACUACUUUUUGUCAUAAGAUCCAUGUCUUCAAUGCAUUGUAAUCUGCUGACUUUAAAUGACUUGAAUUGGUACGAGACUCGUGUCUGAAUUACUUCUCAUGUCUGUUUAACUUUCUUUUCUCGUAUCUGUCGCCACUCGUGCCUUUUAUUCAAUUGUUACGUUUUGACUUCUUGACUAGUCCAUGUAUCAUGCCACAACAUCUUUAACAUAAAUUUUGGUUUUUUUCCAAUACACUGCUGACCUUGUAUUUUAUGACCUAAAACCAUCAAAAUAACAAACCUUUUUACAAGGUCAUUUUAGAUUGAAACUAGUUUAACAAAAAAGAGAUAGGGAGGCUACCACAAUCAUGUAUUUGCUGCACUUUUAACUUCUGCCGUCUAUAAAAAAAAUGAAUUAAAAUAAAUGUAAACUAUUGUAUGAGGCUAGGGUUGUCCAGCAUCAGUUAUCACAUUGUACAUAUUGAUACAGGUAAAUAAAAUCAUUUAAUUACCAACAAAAAAAUGUAAACUACUAUACAUAAUAUAAACUCAAGAACAUGAUAUUAAGGAACUAAAUUCAAAUCUCUAACACCAAUAAUACAAAGAAGCAGAACUCUCAGAUCUUGUAAUUUCUAUUUGAAAGCUGGAAAAAUAAAUUACCUGAAACAGGGGAUUGGCGAAGAGGAGACUAAGUAGUGGCCAACGGAGUAACAGUGAAGGUUGGCGGAUCAGCGGCAGUCGGAACUCGGAAUAGAAUAAGAGCGGCAAUAGUCGGACUCGGAUGAGCAGCGGUAGUCGCCAGUCAGAACUCAGAAGUCAGAAGUGAAGUGAAUCCUAAAAUAAAAAAUCGAAUGUGAUGAAAUUAGGG
This 7589-nucleotide long non-coding RNA is filed under the name Nicotiana benthamiana. RNAcentral describes it as "long non-coding RNA (NBEN_LNC029431)". Lineage: Eukaryota; Viridiplantae; Streptophyta; Magnoliopsida; Solanales; Solanaceae. The record is from RNAcentral.